This 497-nucleotide ribosomal RNA is filed under the name uncultured bacterium. RNAcentral describes it as "partial 16S ribosomal RNA". It matches the Rfam family "Bacterial small subunit ribosomal RNA", at positions 28 to 507 of the family's 1533-position model. The record is from RNAcentral.
GAUGAACGCUGGCGGCGUGCCUAAUACAUGCAAGUCGAGCGAACAGACGAGAAGCUUGCUUUUCUGAUGUUAGCGGCGGAAGGGUGAGUAAACCGUGGAUAACCUACCUAUAAGCCUGGGAUAACUUCGGGAAACCGGAGCUAAUACCGGAUAAUAUAUUGAACCGCAUGGUUCAAUAGUGAAAGACGGUCUUGCUGUCACUUAUAGAUGGAUCCGCGCUGCAUUAGCUAGUUGGUAAGGUAACGGCUUACCAAGACAACGAUGCGUAGCCGACCUGAGAGGGUGAUCGGCCACACUGGAACUGAGACACGGUCCAGACUCCUACGGGAGGCAGCAGUAGGGAAUCUUCCGCAAUGGGCGAAAGCGUGACGGAGCAACGCCGCGUGAGUGAUGAAGGUCUUCGGAUCGUAAAACUCUGUUAUUAGGGAAGAACAAAUGUGUAAGUAACUGUGAACAUCUUGACGGUACCUUAUCAGAAAGCCACGGCUAACUACGUG